RNAcentral lists this ribosomal RNA (505 nucleotides) under uncultured bacterium. RNAcentral's name for it is "partial 16S ribosomal RNA". It matches the Rfam family "Bacterial small subunit ribosomal RNA", at positions 28 to 507 of the family's 1533-position model. The record is from RNAcentral.
GACGAACGCUGGCGGCGUGCCUAAUACAUGCAAGUAGAACGCACAGUUUAUACCGUAGCUUGCUACACCAUAGACUGUGAGUUGCGAACGGGUGAGUAACGCGUAGGUAAUCUGCCUGGUAGCGGGGGAUAACUACUGGAAACGAUAGCUAAUAUCGCAUAAUAUUAAUUAUUGCAUGAUAAUAAAUUGAAUGGCUCAAUCGCAUCACUACCAGAUGGACCUGCGUUGUAUUAGCUAGUAGGUGAGGUAACGGCUCACCUAGGCGACGAUACAUAGCCGACCUGAGAGGGUUGACGGCCAAACUGGGAACGGGACAAGGCCCAGGAUCCUACGGGGGGCAGCAGGAGGGAAUCUUCGGCAAUAGACGGAAGUCUGACCGAGCAACGCCGCGGGAGUGAAGGAGGUUUUCGGAUCGUAAAACUCUGUUGUAAGAGAAGAACGAGUGUGAGAGUGGAAAGUUCACACUGUGACGGUAUCUAACCAGAAAGGGACGGCUAACUACGUG